GUGAGGAAUAUUGGUCAAUGGGCGAGAGCCUGAACCAGCCAAGUCGCGUGAAGGAUGAAGGUUUUAUGAAUUGUAAACUUCUUUUGCAGGGGAAUAAAGUACGGUACGUGUACCGUUUUGUAUGUACUCUGCGAAUAAGGAUCGGCUAACUCCGUGCCAGCAGCCGCGGUAAUACGGAGGAUCCAAGCGUUAUCCGGAUUUAUUGGGUUUAAUGGGUGCGCAGGCGGGUUGUUUAGUCGCCGGUGAAAGUUUGCAGCUUAACUGUAAAAUUGCCGUUGAAACUGUCGAUCUUGAGUGCAAAUGAGGUAAGCGGAAUGUGUUGUGUAGCGGUGAAAUGCUUAGAUAUAACACAGAACACCGAUUGCGAAGGCAGCUUACUGGGAUGCAACUGACGCUCAUGCACGAAAGCGUGGGGAUCAAACAGGAUUAGAUACCCGUGUAGUCC
This 445-nucleotide ribosomal RNA is filed under the name uncultured bacterium. RNAcentral's name for it is "partial 16S ribosomal RNA". It matches the Rfam family "Bacterial small subunit ribosomal RNA", at positions 354 to 796 of the family's 1533-position model. The record is from RNAcentral.